Long non-coding RNA from Astatotilapia calliptera (eastern happy), 983 nucleotides. Lineage: Eukaryota; Metazoa; Chordata; Actinopteri; Cichliformes; Cichlidae. The record is from Ensembl.
GAGGAACGUGGAGAGGAAGGGCAGCACGCACAGGGUGUGCAGAAACUCUACAGCGGGGAGCACGAACACAGACGUCUGAGUGGGAGACACUCACGGGAGUCUUGGGGAGCAACAGGGAUGAAUGGCUGCCUCCUGGCUGCAUGCCAAAUAUCCUUGGGCAAGAUACUAACCCCAUGUUGCCUACUGGUGAUGGUCAGAGGUGGCCAGUGCACCACCGAGCCAGUCCAUCCUGGACUUUCUGCUUUCUACCCUCCACUUCCACUCUCCUACUCAGGCUGCUCACUGGCCCGGGCAGCCGGUGGAUUCACAGCCUGACACGCCGGCCCCGACGUCUACACGCCGCCUGCGCUCCUCAUCACAGCCGGAUUCCUGGACAUCUCAAGAGCCGGCUGGGCCGCCAUUCUGCCAUCAUCUUCACCACCUGCUACGUCGCUACCCGGACCUGCUCAGCCUGGAGCUCAGCGAGCCGAGGCCAGAGCCUCCGCCGGAGGUGGAGCUCAGCGAGCCGGAGCAGGAGCUCAGCGAGCGGGAGGAGCCUGCACCGCCACCAGAGGAGCUCAGCGAGCAGGAGGAGUCCGCGCUGCCCGCGCAAGACCUCGGAGAGCUGGAGGGGCCAGCACGUCCGCGACCCGCCCGGCCAGCACGUCCACGAACGGCACGUCCGCAACCAGCACAUCGUAGAUCAGGUGCCACAUCUCGUGGUCGCUCGUCGGAGCUACGCCGCAGGCCGCUGGAGGAGCAGCGCCGCCACUGGACCCGGGGCAGGCCGCCGGAGAUGCAGCGCCGCCACCGCCACUGGACCCGGGGCACACUGUAAAAUCUAAUUAGUUCACAGAACUCAAAACUAUGUAAACUCGUUGCCUCAAAAAAAAAAAGUAAAGCUUACUUAAGAUGACUGUUAGGACAACUUAUUCAUUGCAAGUCUGCAGUAUUAAGAAUAACUUGAUAUUUCCAACUGUACAAUACUAAUUGUUUACCUACUG